GGGGGUUUGGUAUAGAGUGGUAGUGGUGCAGUCUCUAAAACUGCAUGUAUGGGUUCUAUUCCUUUAACUCUCGC
Molecule: transfer RNA, 74 nt
Filed under: Mycoplasmopsis felis
Lineage: Bacteria; Bacillati; Mycoplasmatota; Mycoplasmoidales; Metamycoplasmataceae
Description: Mycoplasma felis tRNA-Pyl
Rfam family: tRNA
About the family: Transfer RNA (tRNA) molecules are approximately 80 nucleotides in length. Their secondary structure includes four short double-helical elements and three loops (D, anti-codon, and T loops).
Source: RNAcentral